UACGGAGGAUGCAAGCGUUAUCCGGAUUUAUUGGGUUUAAAGGGUGCGUAGGCGGCACGCCAAGUCAGCGGUGAAAUUUCCGGGCUCAACCCGGAUUGUGCCGUUGAAACUGGCGAGCUAGAGUGCACAAGAGGCAGGCGGAAUGCGUGGUGUAGCGGUGAAAUGCAUAGAUAUCACGCAGAACCCCGAUUGCGAAGGCAGCCUGCUAGGGUGCGACAGACGCUGAGGCACGAAAGCGUGGGUAUCGAACAGG
This 253-nucleotide ribosomal RNA is filed under the name Barnesiella intestinihominis YIT 11860. RNAcentral's name for it is "partial 16S ribosomal RNA". It matches the Rfam family "Bacterial small subunit ribosomal RNA", at positions 524 to 776 of the family's 1533-position model. Lineage: Bacteria; Pseudomonadati; Bacteroidota; Bacteroidia; Bacteroidales; Barnesiellaceae. The record is from RNAcentral.